UCCUGGCUCAGGAUGAACGCUGGCGGCGUGCUUAACACAUGCAAGUCGAACGGUGAAGCCAAGCUUGCUUGGUGGAUCAGUGGCGAACGGGUGAGUAACACGUGAGCAACCUGCCCUGAACUCUGGGAUAAGCGCUGGAAACGGCGUCUAAUACUGGAUAUGAGCUGCGGAGGCAUCUUCGUGGUUGGAAAGAUUUUUCGGUUUGGGAUGGGCUCGCGGCCUAUCAGCUUGUUGGUGAGGUAAUGGCUCACCAAGGCGUCGACGGGUAGCCGGCCUGAGAGGGUGACCGGCCACACUGGGACUGAGACACGGCCCAGACUCCUACGGGAGGCAGCAGUGGGGAAUAUUGCACAAUGGGCGGAAGCCUGAUGCAGCAACGCCGCGUGAGGGAUGACGGCCUUCGGGUUGUAAACCUCUUUUAGCAGGGAAGAAGCGAAAGUGACGGUACCUGCAGAAAAAGCGCCGGCUAACUACGUGCCAGCAGCCGCGGUAAUACGUAGGGCGCAAGCGUUAUCCGGAAUUAUUGGGCGUAAAGAGCUCGUAGGCGGUUUGUCGCGUCUGCUGUGAAAUCUGGGGGCUCAACCCCCAGCCUGCAGUGGGUACGGGCAGACUAGAGUGCGGUAGGGGAGAUUGGAAUUCCUGGUGUAGCGGUGGAAUGCGCAGAUAUCAGGAGGAACACCGAUGGCGAAGGCAGAUCUCUGGGCCGUAACUGACGCUGAGGAGCGAAAGGGUGGGGAGCAAACAGGCUUAGAUACCCUGGUAGUCCACCCCGUAAACGUUGGGAACUAGUUGUGGGGUCCAUUCCACGGAUUCCGUGACGCAGCUAACGCAUUAAGUUCCCCGCCUGGGGAGUACGGCCGCAAGGCUAAAACUCAAAGGAAUUGACGGGGACCCGCACAAGCGGCGGAGCAUGCGGAUUAAUUCGAUGCAACGCGAAGAACCUUACCAAGGCUUGACAUACACGAGAACGCUGCAGAAAUGUAGAACUCUUUGGACACUCGUGAACAGGUGGUGCAUGGUUGUCGUCAGCUCGUGUCGUGAGAUGUUGGGUUAAGUCCCGCAACGAGCGCAACCCUCGUUCUAUGUUGCCAGCACGUAAUGGUGGGAACUCAUGGGAUACUGCCGGGGUCAACUCGGAGGAAGGUGGGGAUGACGUCAAAUCAUCAUGCCCCUUAUGUCUUGGGCUUCACGCAUGCUACAAUGGCCGGUACAAAGGGCUGCAAUACCGCGAGGUGGAGCGAAUCCCAAAAAGCCGGUCCCAGUUCGGAUUGAGGUCUGCAACUCGACCUCAUGAAGUCGGAGUCGCUAGUAAUCGCAGAUCAGCAACGCUGCGGUGAAUACGUUCCCGGGUCUUGUACACACCGCCCGUCAAGUCAUGAAAGUCGGUAACACCUGAAGCCGGUGGCCCAACCCUUGUGGAGGGAGCCGUCGAAGGUGGGAUCGGUAAUUAGGACUAAGUC
Molecule: ribosomal RNA, 1460 nt
Filed under: Microbacterium aurantiacum
Lineage: Bacteria; Bacillati; Actinomycetota; Actinomycetes; Micrococcales; Microbacteriaceae
Description: bacterial SSU rRNA
Rfam family: Bacterial small subunit ribosomal RNA
Source: RNAcentral